Caenorhabditis elegans is the source of this 147-nucleotide non-coding RNA. The record is from Ensembl. NCBI's taxonomy places the organism in Eukaryota, Metazoa, Nematoda, Chromadorea, Rhabditida, Rhabditidae.
GGAAAGCAAAAAGGAAAGGAGGGACCAACAGAAGCACCACAUCAUCAUCCAUCCAUUCCUCCGUACGUUUCUCACUGGUCUCUCAUUGUUUUUGGGCAACCAAGGAAAGAGAGAGAGAGAGAGAGAGAGAGAGAGAGAGAGAGAGGA